ACUUGACAUCCCCAUCAACAUCACGAUUUCCAAUUCGAAAUUGAAGCCUCAAUCAAGCAACGGAGCAAUUGAUAAGUCUGGUAUUGCCGAUUUUCGAAUCUGGUGAUCUCAUUCUCAAAUUUUUAGACAGAACCCGAACCCGAACCCGACUGACCGCGUUGUCCUUAUCGUUUUCUUGUUUCUUCUUUCACCGCGUCCUCGCUCUCUCUCACUGGCAAGGAGCCAUGGACAAUUCUGUAUUGGAUUCUAAUGCCUUGAAACCUUAAUCAAGGCAAAAAUUGUUAUCAAGGACAACUCUGUAUGCCUGUAGACUACCUAAACCACGUGCACAAUUAAAAGUAAGAUGGAUCAUUCCUCUUCAAUAUUUCAUUAUUAACCCCUGGGUCUCCUCCAAUAUCAUUUGCUAGAGCCAUUUGGAAUUGAUAUCUGCUGGAAAUUGAUGUCUGUUUUGGGUUAGCCCAGGGUUCUCUGAAUAUCAUCACCAUCUAGGCCAGGUUUCUACAGCUAAUAGGGAAUGAGAAACACUUCGCAUGAUUUAAUUGUUUGGGAAUCUACUUUGCUGCAUAAUGAGGUUGUAGCUGAGGGACGCGAUCUUAUUACAAAAGAAACUGCGGACAGGAUGUCUUUUCUGCUGAUUAAUUUGUCAGAACCAAAGAAACGGUGAACUCAAGUACCAUUUGAAAUUGCUAGUAAUAGCUGGUUAGCCAUACGGCAGUGAUAUUGUCCUCUUGGUUAAUGAAACUAGCUACUAUUUUGUGUCGACUAUUUUGAUCUUCUUUUAAAUUUUUAUCAAUGCUUUUGACAUAAUUAUCAAUUUAGGCAUAGACGAAGACUUAUGAUGGGCUCAAGGAAUGCAAGUACAGCCUCUAGUCUGUCACGA
Rosa chinensis is the source of this 880-nucleotide long non-coding RNA. RefSeq lists it as uncharacterized. The record is from RefSeq and is a predicted model, not a curated record. Lineage: Eukaryota; Viridiplantae; Streptophyta; Magnoliopsida; Rosales; Rosaceae. The transcript is spliced from 3 exons.